GUCGGGAUAGCUCAGUUGGUAGACCAGAGGACUGAAAAUCCUCGUGUCACCAG
This 53-nucleotide transfer RNA is filed under the name Aechmea bambusoides. Its description in RNAcentral is "partial tRNA-Phe". The record is from RNAcentral. Lineage: Eukaryota; Viridiplantae; Streptophyta; Magnoliopsida; Poales; Bromeliaceae.